CCUACGGGUGGCAGCAGUGGGGAAUAUUGCGCAAUGGGCGAAAGCCUGACGCAGCGACGCCGCGUGAGGGAUGAAGGUCUUCGGAUCGUAAACCUCUGUCAGCAGGGAAGAACGGUCACUGUGCUAAUCAGCAGUUAAUUGACGGUACCUGCAAAGGAAGUACCGGCUAACUCCGUGCCAGCAGCCGCGGUAAUACGGAGGGUGCGAGCGUUAAUCGGAAUUACUGGGCGUAAAGCGCGCGUAGGCGGGAUGUCAAGUCAAGGGUGAAAUCCCCGCGCUCAACGUGGGAACUGCCUUUGAAACUGGCAAACUGGAGUGUGUGAGAGGAUAGUGGAAUGCCAGGUGUAGGAGUGAAAUCCGUAGAUAUCUGGAGGAACAUCAGUGGCGAAGGCGACUAUCUGGCACAUAACUGACGCUGAGGAGCGAAAGCGUGGGUAGCAAACAGGAUUAGAUACCCUAGUAUUC
This 465-nucleotide ribosomal RNA is filed under the name uncultured bacterium. RNAcentral describes it as "partial 16S ribosomal RNA". It matches the Rfam family "Bacterial small subunit ribosomal RNA", at positions 338 to 795 of the family's 1533-position model. The record is from RNAcentral.